This 143-nucleotide non-coding RNA is filed under the name Lautropia mirabilis. RNAcentral describes it as "TPP sequence". It matches the Rfam family "TPP riboswitch aptamer (THI element)". From Rfam's summary of the family: Vitamin B(1) in its active form thiamin pyrophosphate (TPP) is an essential coenzyme that is synthesised by coupling of pyrimidine and thiazole moieties in bacteria. The previously detected thiamin-regulatory element, thi box was extended, resulting in a new, highly conserved RNA secondary structure, the THI element, which is widely distributed in eubacteria and also occurs in some archaea. Analysis of operon structures identified a large number of new candidate thiamin-regulated genes, mostly transporters, in various prokaryotic organisms. The record is from RNAcentral. RNAcentral also lists the same sequence under 1 other name. Lineage: Bacteria; Pseudomonadati; Pseudomonadota; Betaproteobacteria; Burkholderiales; Burkholderiaceae.
GUCCGUUCCUGGGGGAGUCCUACCCGAUGGCGCAUCGGCACCUGCCGUGCCUUGCCAUCCAAGGACUGAGAGUCGGCCACUGGCCAAGACCCUUAGAACCUGAUCCGGAUCAUGCCGGCGAAGGGAAGGAAAUCGCAUGCAGA